GCCUACGGGGGGCAGCAGUAGGGAAUCUUCCACAAUGGGCGAAAGCCUGAUGGAGCAACGCCGCGUGGGUGAAGAAGGUCUUCGGAUCGUAAAACCCUGUUGUUAGAGAAGAAAGUGCGUGAGAGUAACUGUUCACGUUUCGACGGUAUCUAACCAGAAAGCCACGGCUAACUACGUGCCAGCAGCCGCGGUAAUACGUAGGUGGCAAGCGCUAUCCGGAUUUAUUGGGCGUAAAGGGAACGCAGGCGGUCUUUUAAGUCUGAUGUGAAAGCCUUCGGCUUAACCGGAGUGGUGUAUUGGAAACU
This 305-nucleotide ribosomal RNA is filed under the name uncultured bacterium. Its description in RNAcentral is "bacterial SSU rRNA". It matches the Rfam family "Bacterial small subunit ribosomal RNA", at positions 337 to 634 of the family's 1533-position model. The record is from RNAcentral.